RNAcentral lists this ribosomal RNA (467 nucleotides) under uncultured bacterium. Its description in RNAcentral is "partial 16S ribosomal RNA". It matches the Rfam family "Bacterial small subunit ribosomal RNA", at positions 29 to 507 of the family's 1533-position model. The record is from RNAcentral.
ACGCACGCUGGCGGCGUGCUUAACACAUGCAAGUCGAACGGAAAGGCCCUGCUUUUGUGGGGUGCUCGAGUGGCGAACGGGUGAGUAACACGUGAGUAACCUGCCCUUGACUUUGGGAUAACUUCAGGAAACUGGGGCUAAUACCGGAUAGGAGCUCCUGCUGCAUGGUGGGGGUUGGAAAGUUUCGGCGGUUGGGGAUGGACUCGCGGCUUAUCAGCUUGUUGGUGGGGUAGUGGCUUACCAGGGCUUUGACGGGUAGCCGGCCUGAGAGGGUGACCGGCCACAUUGGGACUGAGAUACGGCCCAGACUCCUACGGGAGGCAGCAGUGGGGAAUAUUGCACAAUGGGCGGAAGCCUGAUGUAGCAACGCCGCGUGCGGGAUGACGGCCUUCGGGUUGUAAACCGCUUUCGCCUGUGACGAAGCGUGAGUGACGGUAAUGGGUAAAGAAGCACCGGCUAACUACGUG